AUGGAGAUACCAGUAGUAGUGGAAGCUAGGGUUGAAGAUCCAUCUUCGAGCGUCGGUUUGGGCCUGGGAAACAAGAAGGGUGAGGAGGAUGCAUCGAAGGCGUUUGACGGGAAGGUUUCUGACGUUCAGAAAGAUGAUGAGGAUGCAGAUUGGGAGCAAUACAGGGCAGAUGAAGAUCUAGAUGGUGCGUUUGAGAACCUCAAGUUGCAAGGGGGGGAGGAAGAAGAUCUGGAUCUUUCUGGGGAGUUUGAGGAUUUGAUCAAGGAUGUUCGUUGGAUGGCGCUCUUAAGGGUUCACACACUGCGACCGUUUAGUCACGCUUCUCUGCUUAAUUCCAUGAGGAAUGCAUGGGCGUGUGCGCAGGGGGUGACUUUCAACAUCAAAGGCCCCAACUUGUUUCUGGCUCAAUGCCAUUGCUUGGGUGAUUGGAAGAGAGUAAUGGAGGGGGGGCCAUGGCAGUUUAGAAGGGAUCUGGUGGUUUUAAUGGAGUAUGAUGGAUUUUCAGAUGUAGAAGAGUAUGAUUUGAACAUGUAUCCAUUGUGGGCUAGGAUUAAAGGAUUGCCGGACGGUUUGACGAGGAAGAAGGAGUUGGCAGAGAAGGUUGGAAAGAAGGUAGGAGAACCUCCGUUUACAGUCACGGUGAAUGAAGGGAGGAUUAACCCAUCAAACUUUUUGCGGGUUCGGGUGUUCGUCAACGUAACAUUACCAUUAGUAAGGUUUGUGCAUAUUACAUUGAAGGAGAGAAAGAGGUACUCGGUGUUUUAUGAGAAACUCCCAGAUUUUUGCUUUUUCAGUGGACAUAUGGAUCAUGUUGUGGAAGAAUGUGGUGAUGGAGUAGAUGAUAGUGCACUUUGUGAAUGGGGGGAUUGGCUUCAUUGGGUCAGCGAACUAGUGGGUUCCGGUGGUCGUGGGGGCAGAGGCGGUGGGAGUGAUGGAGGUAGAGGAGGUGCUGGCCCUGCAGGGUGGGGGGGAAAGGAGGAAGAAGGGGUGGUAGAGGAGGCGAAGCUAGAGGAAGUAGGGAUGAUGUUGGGGAGGAAAAGGAGGAGGUGGUUUCACAGAAAGAGGGGGGCUGGAGCUGUCUGUGGGGAUGGAUAUCAUGCAGUUUAA
Molecule: ribosomal RNA, 1107 nt
Filed under: Triticum aestivum (bread wheat)
Lineage: Eukaryota; Viridiplantae; Streptophyta; Magnoliopsida; Poales; Poaceae
Description: partial small subunit ribosomal RNA
Source: RNAcentral